UAACACGUAUCCAACCUGCCGCUUACUCGGGGAUAGCCUUUCGAAAGAAAGAUUAAUACCCGAUGGUAUAAAGAGUUCGCAUGUUCUCUUUAUUAAAGAAUUUCGGUAAGCGAUGGGGAUGCGUUCCAUUAGAUAGUUGGCGGGGUAACGGCCCACCAAGUCUACGAUGGAUAGGGGUUCUGAGAGGAAGGUCCCCCACAUUGGAACUGAGACACGGUCCAAACUCCUACGGGAGGCAGCAGUGAGGAAUAUUGGUCAAUGGACGAGAGUCUGAACCAGCCAAGUAGCCGUGAAGGAUGACUGCCCUAUGGGUUGUAAACUUCUUUUAUAAGGGAAUAAAGUGAGGGACGUGUCCCUUUUUGUAUGUACCUUAUGAAUAAGGAUCGGCUAACUCCGUGCCAGCAGCGGC
Molecule: ribosomal RNA, 409 nt
Filed under: uncultured bacterium
Lineage: Bacteria
Description: bacterial SSU rRNA
Rfam family: Bacterial small subunit ribosomal RNA
Source: RNAcentral